RNAcentral lists this ribosomal RNA (116 nucleotides) under uncultured bacterium. Its description in RNAcentral is "partial 16S ribosomal RNA". It matches the Rfam family "Bacterial small subunit ribosomal RNA", at positions 1369 to 1482 of the family's 1533-position model. The record is from RNAcentral.
CGUUCCCGGGCCUUGUACACACCGCCCGUCACACCACGAAAGUUGGUAACACCCGAAGCCGGUGGCCCAACCCGUAAGGGAGGGAGCUGUCGAAGGUGGGAUCAGCGAUUGGGGUG